RNAcentral lists this ribosomal RNA (450 nucleotides) under uncultured bacterium. RNAcentral describes it as "partial 16S ribosomal RNA". It matches the Rfam family "Bacterial small subunit ribosomal RNA", at positions 354 to 796 of the family's 1533-position model. The record is from RNAcentral.
GUGGGGAAUUUUGGACAAUGGGCGCAAGCCUGAUCCAGCAAUGCCGCGUGCAGGAAGAAGGCCUUCGGGUUGUAAACUACUUUUGUACGGAACGAAAAGGCUCUGGUUAAUACCUGGGGCUCAUGACGGUACCGUAAGAAUAAGCACCGGCUAACUACGUGCCAGCAGCCGCGGUAAUACGUAGGGUGCAAGCGUUAAUCGGAAUUACUGGGCGUAAAGCGUGCGCAGGCGGUUUUGUAAGACAGACGUGAAAUCCACGUGCUCAACCUGGGAAUGGCGUUUGUGACUGCAAAGCUGGAGUGCGGCAGAGGUGGAUGGAAUUCCGCGUGUAGCAGUGAAAUGCGUAGAUAUGCGGAGGAACACCGAUGGCGAAGGCAAUCCCCUGGGCCUGCACUGACGCUCAUGCACGAAAGCGUGGGGAGCAAACAGGAUUAGAAACCCGUGUAGUCC